UAGGGAAUAUUGGGCAAUGGGCGAAAGCCUGACCCAGCAACGCCGCGUGUGCGAUGAAGGUCUUCGGAUCGUAAAGCACUUUUCGGGGAGAUGAGAAAGGACAGUAUCCCCGGAAUAAGUCUCGGCUAACUACGUGCCAGCAGCCGCGGUAAAACGUAGGAGGCAAGCGUUAUCCGGAUUUACUGGGCGUAAAGCGCGUGCAGGCGGUUCGGUAAGUUGGAUGUGAAAGCUUCCGGCUCAACUGGGAGAGGUCGUUCAAUACUACCGGACUUGAGAGUGGUAGAGGGAGGUGGAAUUCCCGGUGUAGUGGUGAAAUGCGUAGAUAUCGGGAGGAACACCAGUGGCGAAAGCGGCCUCCUGGACCAUUUCUGACGCUCAGACGCGAAAGCUAGGGGAGCAAACGGGAUUAGAGACCCCGGUAGUCCUAGCUGUAAACGAUGUGAACUUGGCGUCGGUGGUGUAAAAACCAUCGGUGCCGAAGCCAACGCGAUAAGUUCACCGCCUGGGGACUACGGCCGCAAGGUUA
This 526-nucleotide ribosomal RNA is filed under the name uncultured bacterium. Its description in RNAcentral is "bacterial SSU rRNA". It matches the Rfam family "Bacterial small subunit ribosomal RNA", at positions 355 to 896 of the family's 1533-position model. The record is from RNAcentral.